AUUGAACGCUGGCGGCAGGCUUAACACAUGCAAGUCGAGCGGGGGAAGGUAGCUUGCUACCGGACCUAGCGGCGGACGGGUGAGUAAUGCUUAGGAAUCUGCCUAUUAGUGGGGGACAACAUCUCGAAAGGGAUGCUAAUACCGCAUACGUCCUACGGGAGAAAGCAGGGGAUCUUCGGACCUUGCGCUAAUAGAUGAGCCUCAGUCGGAUUAGCUAGUUGGUGGGGUAAAGGCCUACCAAGGCGACGAUCUGUAGCGGGUCUGAGAGGAUGAUCCGACACACUGGGACUGGGACACGGCCCAGACUCCUACGGGAGGCAGCAGAGGGGAAUAAUGGACAAUGGAGGGAACCCUGAUCCAGCCAUGCCGCGUGUGUGAGGAAGGCCUUAUGGUUGUAAAGCACUUUAAGCGAGGAGGAGGAUACUCUAGUUAAUACCUAGGGAUAGUGGACGUUACUCGCAGAAUAAGCACCGGCUAACUCUGUGCCAGCAGCCGCGGUAA
This 501-nucleotide ribosomal RNA is filed under the name uncultured bacterium. RNAcentral describes it as "partial 16S ribosomal RNA". It matches the Rfam family "Bacterial small subunit ribosomal RNA", at positions 30 to 523 of the family's 1533-position model. The record is from RNAcentral.